RNAcentral lists this ribosomal RNA (1856 nucleotides) under Escherichia coli. RNAcentral describes it as "partial 23S ribosomal RNA". It matches the Rfam family "Bacterial large subunit ribosomal RNA", at positions 1080 to 2915 of the family's 2925-position model. Lineage: Bacteria; Pseudomonadati; Pseudomonadota; Gammaproteobacteria; Enterobacterales; Enterobacteriaceae. The record is from RNAcentral.
AAGGCCCAGACAGCCAGGAUGUUGGCUUAGAAGCAGCCAUCAUUUAAAGAAAGCGUAAUAGCUCACUGGUCGAGUCGGCCUGCGCGGAAGAUGUAACGGGGCUAAACCAUGCACCGAAGCUGCGGCAGCGACGCUUAUGCGUUGUUGGGUAGGGGAGCGUUCUGUAAGCCUGCGAAGGUGUACUGUGAGGUAUGCUGGAGGUAUCAGAAGUGCGAAUGCUGACAUAAGUAACGAUAAAGCGGGUGAAAAGCCCGCUCGCCGGAAGACCAAGGGUUCCUGUCCAACGUUAAUCGGGGCAGGGUGAGUCGACCCCUAAGGCGAGGCCGAAAGGCGUAGUCGAUGGGAAACAGGUUAAUAUUCCUGUACUUGGUGUUACUGCGAAGGGGGGACGGAGAAGGCUAUGUUGGCCGGGCGACGGUUGUCCCGGUUUAAGCGUGUAGGCUGGUUUUCCAGGCAAAUCCGGAAAAUCAAGGCUGAGGCGUGAUGACGAGGCACUACGGUGCUGAAGCAACAAAUGCCCUGCUUCCAGGAAAAGCCUCUAAGCAUCAGGUAACAUCAAAUCGUACCCCAAACCGACACAGGUGGUCAGGUAGAGAAUACCAAGGCGCUUGAGAGAACUCGGGUGAAGGAACUAGGCAAAAUGGUGCCGUAACUUCGGGAGAAGGCACGCUGAUAUGUAGGUGAAGUCCCUCGCGGAUGGAGCUGAAAUCAGUCGAAGAUACCAGCUGGCUGCAACUGUUUAUUAAAAACACAGCACUGUGCAAACACGAAAGUGGACGUAUACGGUGUGACGCCUGCCCGGUGCCGGAAGGUUAAUUGAUGGGGUUAGCGCAAGCGAAGCUCUUGAUCGAAGCCCCGGUAAACGGCGGCCGUAACUAUAACGGUCCUAAGGUAGCGAAAUUCCUUGUCGGGUAAGUUCCGACCUGCACGAAUGGCGUAAUGAUGGCCAGGCUGUCUCCACCCGAGACUCAGUGAAAUUGAACUCGCUGUGAAGAUGCAGUGUACCCGCGGCAAGACGGAAAGACCCCGUGAACCUUUACUAUAGCUUGACACUGAACAUUGAGCCUUGAUGUGUAGGAUAGGUGGGAGGCUUAGAAGUGUGGACGCCAGUCUGCAUGGAGCCGACCUUGAAAUACCACCCUUUAAUGUUUGAUGUUCUAACGUUGACCCGUAAUCCGGGUUGCGGACAGUGUCUGGUGGGUAGUUUGACUGGGGCGGUCUCCUCCUAAAGAGUAACGGAGGAGCACGAAGGUUGGCUAAUCCUGGUCGGACAUCAGGAGGUUAGUGCAAUGGCAUAAGCCAGCUUGACUGCGAGCGUGACGGCGCGAGCAGGUGCGAAAGCAGGUCAUAGUGAUCCGGUGGUUCUGAAUGGAAGGGCCAUCGCUCAACGGAUAAAAGGUACUCCGGGGAUAACAGGCUGAUACCGCCCAAGAGUUCAUAUCGACGGCGGUGUUUGGCACCUCGAUGUCGGCUCAUCACAUCCUGGGGCUGAAGUAGGUCCCAAGGGUAUGGCUGUUCGCCAUUUAAAGUGGUACGCGAGCUGGGUUUAGAACGUCGUGAGACAGUUCGGUCCCUAUCUGCCGUGGGCGCUGGAGAACUGAGGGGGGCUGCUCCUAGUACGAGAGGACCGGAGUGGACGCAUCACUGGUGUUCGGGUUGUCAUGCCAAUGGCACUGCCCGGUAGCUAAAUGCGGAAGAGAUAAGUGCUGAAAGCAUCUAAGCACGAAACUUGCCCCGAGAUGAGUUCUCCCUGACUCCUUGAGAGUCCUGAAGGAACGUUGAAGACGACGACGUUGAUAGGCCGGGUGUGUAAGCGCAGCGAUGCGUUGAGCUAACCGGUACUAAUGAACCGUGAG